This 73-nucleotide transfer RNA is filed under the name Ixodes scapularis (black-legged tick). It matches the Rfam family "tRNA". Rfam says of the family: Transfer RNA (tRNA) molecules are approximately 80 nucleotides in length. Their secondary structure includes four short double-helical elements and three loops (D, anti-codon, and T loops). Lineage: Eukaryota; Metazoa; Arthropoda; Arachnida; Ixodida; Ixodidae. The record is from Rfam by way of RNAcentral.
UCCUGGUUAGCGCAGUUGGUAGAGAGUUCCACUGGAAAUGGAGAGGUUCCUGGUUCGAUACCUGGACCAGGCG